RNAcentral lists this long non-coding RNA (457 nucleotides) under Salmo salar (Atlantic salmon). RNAcentral describes it as "lncRNA (ENSSSAG00000094382.1)". The record is from RNAcentral. Lineage: Eukaryota; Metazoa; Chordata; Actinopteri; Salmoniformes; Salmonidae.
CCACAACGGCCGUGGUCGCACCUGUCGGUGGACUUCCUGACGGAUCUUCCUCCCUCACAGGGCAACACCACGAUCCUGGUCGUUGUGGAUCGGUUUUCUAAGUCAGGUGGUUGUUACUGGUCAUCUGGGGGUAACAGAGUCUAGGUGAAUGGUUAGGUGGUUGUUAGUGGUCAUCUGGGGGUAACAGAGUCUAGGUGAAUGGUUAGGUGGUUGUUAGUGGUCAUCUGGGGUCCUGAGUCUCGGGGUCUUAGGAGGUUACUGCCAAUGAUGGAUGGCUAGUCAGAAUCUGGCCCAAUGUUGUUCUGAGGCUGCCAAUGUUAUUGACCUACAGUGAGUGUUUUCAUUUAAGACUGAUGCUAAAUGAGGUAGAAAGGGUUUCUUCUUACUGUGAGAACAUGGUUGAACCCAUUCACCCUCUUUUUAAACAGCCCCUGCUGGAAUCCCAGCACGCCAACCC